AGCAGCCGCGGUAAUUCCAGCUCCAAUAGCGUAUAUUAAAGUUGUUGCAGUUAAAAAGCUCGUAGUUGAACUUCGGGAUUUGCCCAUUGGUCAGGCUUAACUGUCUGCACUGGUGUGACGAGUUCCUACCUUCUGAGGAAUCUCCAUGUCAUUCAGUUGGUGUGGGGGGAAAUCAGGACUGUUACUUUGAAAAAAUUAGAGUGUUUAAAGCAGGCGUCCGUCUGAAUACAUUAGCAUGGAAUAAUAAAAUAGGACGGUUUGGUUCUAUUUUGUUGGUUUCUAGGAUCACCGUAAUGAUUAAUAGGGAUAGUUGGGGGCAUUAGUAUUCAGUUGUCAGAGGUGAAAUUCUUGGAUUUAUUGAAGACUAACUACUGCGAAAGCAUUUGCCAAGGAUGUUUUCAUUAAUCAAGAACGAAAGUUAGGGGAUCGAAGACGAUCAGAUACCGUCGUAGUCUUAACCAUAAACUAUGCCGACUAGGGAUCGGACGAAGUUAAUUUUUAAUGACUCGUUCGGCACCUU
RNAcentral lists this ribosomal RNA (520 nucleotides) under uncultured Diversispora. RNAcentral's name for it is "SSU rRNA". It matches the Rfam family "Eukaryotic small subunit ribosomal RNA", at positions 569 to 1089 of the family's 1831-position model. Lineage: Eukaryota; Fungi; Glomeromycota; Glomeromycetes; Diversisporales; Diversisporaceae. The record is from RNAcentral.